This 756-nucleotide ribosomal RNA is filed under the name uncultured marine haptophyte. RNAcentral's name for it is "bacterial SSU rRNA". It matches the Rfam family "Bacterial small subunit ribosomal RNA", at positions 547 to 1311 of the family's 1533-position model. Lineage: Eukaryota; Haptophyta. The record is from RNAcentral.
GGAAUCAUUGGGCGUAAAGCGCCUGUAGGUUGUUUAAUAAGUCCGUUGUUAAAGACUAGGGCUUAACCCUAGGAAAGCGAUGGAAACUGAUAGACUUGAGUAUGGCAGGGGUAGAGGGAAUUUCUAGUGUAGCGGUGAAAUGCGUAGAUAUUAGAAAGAACACCGGUGGCGGAAGCGCUCUACUGGACCAUUACUGACACUGAGAGGCGAAAGCUAGGGGAGCGAAAGGGAUUAGAUACCCCUGUAGUCCCAGCCGUAAACGAUGGAUACUAGAUGUUGUGCAAUUUGGACAGUAUCGUAGCUAACGCGUUAAGUAUCCCGCCUGGGGAGUACGCUCGCAAGGGUGAAACUCAAAGGAAUUGACGGGGGCCCGCACAAGCGGUGGAGCAUGUGGUUUAAUUCGAUGCAACGCGAAGAACCUUACCAGGGCUUGACAUACUACAGAUCUUUUUGAGAAAGAAGAGUGCCUUCGGGAAUGUAGAUACAGGUGGUGCAUGGCUGUCGUCAGCUCGUGUCGUGAGAUGUUGGGUUAAGUCCCGCAACGAGCGCAACCCUCGUUUUUAGUUGCCAAUUUAUUGGGAUCUCUAGAAAGACUGCCGGUGACAAACCGGAGGAAGGUGAGGAUGACGUCAAGUCAGCAUGCCCCUUAUGUCCUGGGCCACACACGUGCUACAAUGGUAAAGACAAAGAGUCGCCAAUUCGCGAGAAUGAGCUAAUCUCAUAAACUUUAUCUAAGUUCGGAUUGUAGGCUGCAAC